Molecule: long non-coding RNA, 560 nt
Filed under: Salmo salar (Atlantic salmon)
Lineage: Eukaryota; Metazoa; Chordata; Actinopteri; Salmoniformes; Salmonidae
Description: lncRNA (ENSSSAG00000107281.1)
Source: RNAcentral
GUGGGGUUAUGGUAUGGGCCCCAUGGUGGAGAUGUGGUUAUGGUAUGGGCCCCAUGGUGGAGGUGGGGUAUGGGCCCCAUGGUGGUGGAGGUGGGGUUAUGGUAUGGGCCCCAUGGUGGUGGAGGUGGGGUAUGGGCCCCAUGGUGGUGGAGGUGGGGUUAUGGUAUGGGCCCCAUGGUGGAGAUGUGGGGUUAUGGUAUAGGCCCCAUGGUGGAGUUGGGGUUAUGGUAUGGGCCCCAUGGUGGAGGUGGGGUUAUGGUAUGGGCCCCAUGGUGGCAGUGGGGUUAGGGUGUGGUAUGGACCUCAUGGUGGAGGUGGGGUUAUGGUAUGGGCCCCAUGGUGGGGUUAGGGUGUGGUAUGGGCCCCAUGGUGGAGGUGGGGUUAUGGUAUGGGCCCCAUGGUGGCAGUGGGGUUAUGGUAUGGGCCCCAUGGUGGAGGUGGGGUUAUGGUAUGGGCCCCAUGGUGGAGGUGGGGUUAUGGUAUGGGCCCCAUGGUGGAGGUGGGGUUAUGGUAUGGGCCCCAUGGUGGAGAUGUGGGGAUAUGGUAUGGGCCCCAUGGUG